This 440-nucleotide ribosomal RNA is filed under the name uncultured bacterium. RNAcentral describes it as "partial 16S ribosomal RNA". It matches the Rfam family "Bacterial small subunit ribosomal RNA", at positions 338 to 795 of the family's 1533-position model. The record is from RNAcentral.
CCUACGGGAGGCAGCAGUAGGGAAUAUUGCUCAAUGGGGGAAACCCUGAAGCAGCAACGCCGCGUGGAGGAUGACGGUUCUAGGAUUGUAAACCCCUUUUGUGCGAGAAGAUAAUGACGGUAUCCCACGAAUAAGCACCGGCUAACUCCGUGACAGCAUCCGCUGUUAUACGGAGGGUGCAAGCGUUACUCCGAAUCAUUGGGCGUAAAGAGUGCGCAGGCGGGCUUGUAAGUCAGAUGUGAAAUCCUGUAGCUUAACUACAGAACUGCAUUUGAAACUAUGGGUCUAGAGUGUGCGAGAGGUAGGUGGAAUUCGUGGUGUAGGGGUAAAAUCCGUAGAUAUCAAGAAGAAUACUCAUUGCGAAGGCGACCUACUGGAACAUUACUGACGCUGAUGCACGAAAGCGUGGGGAGCGAACAGGAUUAGAUACCCGAGUAGUC